CCUCGUAAGAAAUAUUUCUUUCUCCUACAUGAACUAGAUUGAGCAAACUGCACUCUUCUAAAAAUGUGGCUUAAUCCCUAAGAAUUGCAAUCUUUAUUUGACUGAGUGUUUUGAAAUGGUUACAUCCCAAUUUGAAAACAGAACCAGUCUUUGGAUUUAGCAACUGUUCGAGAGCACAUUUGGUUCCCAUUUUCAGUAUCUAUGGCACAUGAUGUCCAUCAUGGUGUCUUCCUUUUUUCCUCUCCCGUAGCCACUCCACGAAUGUCAAAUACCUACUAUCUACCGAGCGCUGUUCUAGAAUACAGAGGUGGGCAAGGGCAUGGCUCCCUAAGCCAUGCUUGCCAUACGUUCAUGAACUGAUUCUGCGUAGCAGGGCUGCGGCACUUCCAUGUCUGCAUGCGCUCGCCAGGCCUGAGCAAGAGGAAGCUGAAGGGCUCAAAGUUCCUCAGCGUGUCAACACACCACAAAACCUCAGAGCCAUUUCAAACUCGGCCCUCAGAAACCAAGCCUGUGAAGAUGAACGGGCCAAACUGAAACUGCAGUAAGGCCAACUGUCAAGACAUGUUUGUGAAGCCGUUAUGACUACCGUG
Long non-coding RNA from Tupaia belangeri chinensis (Chinese tree shrew), 590 nucleotides. RefSeq lists it as uncharacterized. NCBI's taxonomy places the organism in Eukaryota, Metazoa, Chordata, Mammalia, Scandentia, Tupaiidae. The record is from RefSeq and is a predicted model, not a curated record. The transcript is spliced from 2 exons.